RNAcentral lists this ribosomal RNA (497 nucleotides) under uncultured bacterium. RNAcentral's name for it is "partial 16S ribosomal RNA". It matches the Rfam family "Bacterial small subunit ribosomal RNA", at positions 28 to 507 of the family's 1533-position model. The record is from RNAcentral.
GAUGAACGCUGGCGGCGUGCCUAAUACAUGCAAGUCGAGCGAACGGACGCUAAGCUUGCUUCUCUGAUGUUAGCGGCGGACGGGUGAGUAACACGUGUAUAAUCUCCCUAUAAGUCUGGGAUAAUCUCGGGAAACCGGCGAUAAUACCGGAUAAUAUUUUGAACCGCAUGGUUCAAAAGUGAAUGACGGCCUUGCUGUCACUUAUAGAUGGAUCCGGGCUGCUUUAGCUAGUUGGUACGGUAACGGCUUACCAGGGCAACGAUGCACAGCCGACCGGUGAGGAGGAUCGGCGGCACUGGAACGGAGACACGAUCCUUAGGCCUACGGGAGGGAGCAGAAGGGUAUGGGCGGCAAUGGUCGGGAGCCUUACACAACAGCGCCGCGUGAGAUAUGGAAACCUUCGGUGCGUAAAGCUCGGUUAUGAGUGGAGAACAUAUUUGGCAGGAGCUGAGCACAGAGUGACGGUACCGGGUAAAGAAGCAACGGCUAACUACGUG